UAGGGAAUCUUCGGCAAUGGGGGGAACCCUGACCGAGCAACGCCGCGUGAGUGAAGAAGGUUUUCGGAUCGUAAAGCUCUGUUGUUAAGGAAGAACGAGUGUGAGAAUGGAAAGUUCAUGCUGUGACGGUACUUAACCAGAAAGGGACGGCUAACUACGUGCCAGCAGCCGCGGUAAUACGUAGGUCCCGAGCGUUGUCCGGAUUUAUUGGGCGUAAAGCGAGCGCAGGCGGUUAGAAAAGUCUGAAGUGAAAGGCAGUGGCUCAACCAUUGUAGGCUUUGGAAACUGUUUAAAUUGAGUGCAGAAGGGGGGAGUGGAAUUCCAUAUGUGGCGGUGAAAUGCGGAGGUAUAUGGAGGAACAACGGUGGCGAAAGCGGCUCUCUGGUCUGUAACUGACGCUGAGGCUCGAAAGCGUGGGGAGCGAACAGG
This 429-nucleotide ribosomal RNA is filed under the name Bacteroidota bacterium. Its description in RNAcentral is "Bacteroidetes bacterium partial 16S ribosomal RNA". It matches the Rfam family "Bacterial small subunit ribosomal RNA", at positions 355 to 776 of the family's 1533-position model. The record is from RNAcentral. Lineage: Bacteria; Pseudomonadati; Bacteroidota.